AGUCUGGUGCCAGCAGCCGCGGUAAUUCCAGCUCCGCAAGUGUAUAUCUAUGUUGCUGCGGUUAAAAAGCUCGUAGUUGGAUCUGCGUGUUUAGCGUCCGGUUCAACUUUUCGGUUGCUACUGGAACGCGACACAGAUGUGCUGGUUUGCCAUUGAUGCUCUUAACCGGGUGUCAGCGGCGGCUAGCGAGUUUACUUUGAAAAAAUUAGAGUGCUCAAAACAGGCGUUUCGCCUGAAUAUUUCUGCAUGGAAUAAUAAAAUAGGACUCCGAUUCUAUUCUGUUGGUUUUCGGAAUGCGAGGUAAUGAUUAAGAGGGACAGACGGGGGCAUUCGUACUGCGACGUUAGAGGUGAAAUUCUUGGAUCGUCGCAAGACGUACUACUGCGAAGGCAUUUGCCAAGAAUGUUUUCAUUAAUCAAGAACGAAAGUUAUGGGUUCGAAGGCGAUCAGAUACCGCCCUAGUCAUAACCGUAAACGAUUCAAACUGGGCGCCCGUCGGUGUUUUUAUUGACCCGACGGGAACCCUCCCGGAAACGAAAGUGUUCGUGUUCCGGGGGAAAUAUGUCUGCAAAGAGGAAACUUAAAGGAAUUGACGGAAGGGCACCACCAGGGGUGGAGCCUGCGGCUUAAUUUGACCCAACACGGGGAAACUCACCCGGCCCGGACACCGUAAGGAUUGACAGAUUGAGAGCUCUUUCUUGAUUCGGUGGGUGGUGGUGCAUGGCCGUUCUUAGUUGGUGGAGUGAUUUGUCUGGUUUAUUCCGAUAACGAACGAGACUCUGGCCUGCUAACUAGUGUUCACAUCUUUACGUGUGCUUCGCUUCUUAGAGGGACAGGCGGCUUCCAGCCGCAUGAAAAAGAGCAAUAACAGGUCUGUGAUGCCCUUAGAUGUCCGGGGCUGCACGCGCGCUACACUGAAAGAAUCAGCGUGUACGUUACCUGGCUCGAAAGAGUCGGGUAAUCCGGUGAAAAUCUUUCGUGAUUGGGAUCGGGACUUGCAAUUAUUUCCCUUGAACGAGGAAUCCCUAGUAAGUGCGGGUCAUCAGCUCGCGCUGAUUACGUCCCUGCCCUUUGUACACACCGCCCGUCGCUGCCCGGAACUGAGCCGUCUCGAGAAUAAUGGGGACUGUCUGCUUGAGGUCUUCACGGACUUUUUGCAAAUGGAAACCGC
Molecule: ribosomal RNA, 1171 nt
Filed under: metagenome
Description: SSU rRNA
Rfam family: Eukaryotic small subunit ribosomal RNA
Source: RNAcentral